This is a long non-coding RNA of Corvus hawaiiensis (hawaiian crow), 6564 nucleotides long. RefSeq lists it as uncharacterized. The transcript is spliced from 2 exons. NCBI's taxonomy places the organism in Eukaryota, Metazoa, Chordata, Aves, Passeriformes, Corvidae. The record is from RefSeq and is a predicted model, not a curated record.
CACCGCGGACGUGGCUCCGCUCCCUGCGGACGGGGAUGGGGCGCCGGUGGGGUCUGGGGGCGCCGGGAGCCCGGGGGAAGCCCCCACCUCCGGGCCGGAGCAGGGGGCGAUGUCGCCCCAGGACUCGGAGGGUCCUGCGGGCAUCGCUCCGGGAGGUGUGGAGCCGGCGGGCGCGGCUGCUCCCUCCACUCCGUUCCCAAAAAAUACCCCCGUUCUCAAUAUAUUAUUCCCUGGUUAUAAACAAUCCCACUAGAGCCUCCCCCCCCCCCGGCAGGACUCCCCCCUUCCCCGGGGGUGCCAGGCCGGGGCAGCCCGGGCCCCCUCCCUUUGUUGGGGCCGGGGCAGCCGCGCACCCCGCAGCGUGUUCCCGGCCGCAUCCCGGCCCGGCAGGCGAUCCCGGUGAUCCCGGUCCGGAGGCAGCACUGGGCAGCCUGGCCCCUCCCCGGACACCGCCGGCAGCCCCCGGCCCAAAUCAGAACUAACUGCUGCGCCGCUUGUUUGUAUUGUUUUUUUCAGAAUCCUCAUCAAGAAUAGGGCUCCUGCCAGGUAAAUGGAUUCUUGCCUGAUUUUCAAUGCUCCUGGGAGGAUUUGUAGCCAAAAUGCCGUUUUAUUGCUUUGUCUCGAACCCCCCAUUUUCUCCCAAAGCUGAUGAUCCUAGGCGGGGCUGAGAGGCGAGGCUGGGGCCAGCAGCCCCAGGGCACAGCACAGCCCUUCCUUCUCCUCAGAGUUAACCUGGCAGAUGCUCUUCUUGCGGAGCCAUUUUCUCUCCCUCAUUGUCUCGCAGCCUUUUGUGUGUGCGGGUAGGUCCUACCCGGGGAGCCAGGAGGAGCACAGAAAUAAUCAGAUUUUCAGGCGUUCCGGACUUGCAGGGAGUCUUCCACACCCUCACACCCCCAUUCUGCCGGGCUGCCCAGCCCCAGAGCUGCAGACAAAGGCAGCAGUGCCUGGCACCACUGCAGCAGCACCGGAGCCUGGGCUGUGCCGGAGCCUGGGCUCUGCUGGAUGGCAGCGAGGGUCGGGCAGUGUUGGCAGGGCACAGGGCAGGGGGGUCUGGCCACCCCGCUGGGAUUUGGGGGCUCAGGGUGCCCGGAUGCCACAUCCCAGCGAUCAUCUCUCCGGGAUCUCUUGUGGCAGUGCAGUGCCUGCUGUGCCCUCAUCUCCCCACUCCUGCCCGCAGCAGAGCUCGUGCUCCUCGCCCUCCCUCCUCACUCGAGGAGGGGGUUUAGCCCCCGUUUGAUUCGGGUGUCCAGCCCCCCAGGGGCACCGUAUGUGCCACCCACACGCAUGGCAGGGGCAGCUCAAGCUCGUGCCCCAGACGAGUGUUUAGGUGAGUCCUGUCUGCACAAAAUUGUUUUUCCCUCCCCAUCUCCCGGAAUGUGCUUCACUCCCAGGCCGGAGAGGCCAUCCUGCCGCCGUCACGUCCCGCCUGCCCCACCACCGGCGCCUCUAGGCAGGGGAUCCAUUUGCCAGAUGCUCAGUGGCAUCUCCACGGCUCAUUCCCGCUGCUCGGCCCCACCGCAGCUGGCUUGCAAAUGCCGCCUGGACGUGCUGUCCCCACGGGAGGGACUGUCCUGCCGGCAGCGCCUGCGGACUGCGGUGACAAUGAACCGUGGGAAGCAGGAGCGGCUCGGCAGCUGAACUGCAGAGUCAUCACAGCCCCGCUCCCCUGGGACCUGCUGCUGUCCUGGUUUGCCCAGGCAGGCAGGCCAGGGCAGGGCAGGAGCAGGAGCAGGCCACAGACAUGGGCUGGCUGCUGGCACCAGCCACGUGUCCCCAGAUCCCCAAGGAGAUGGAGCAGCACCCAACGCAGCGUGGCUAUGACCACCAGUCUGCCCAGUUUAACCAGUGGAACCACAGGGUCCCAGUGACCCAGCUUAACCAGAGGGCAAGGGCAGAGGUGGAGGCAGCAGUGGCAGUGGCAGUCAGUCCCUGCCUCCAGCAACAGGUAGGGACAGUUUGGGGCAUUGCCACCAUUUCUGGUGUGGUGGUUCCUGGUGUCCCUCUGUGCCUGGUCCAGCUCCCCCACUCUGCAAGGGGACAGGGACAGGAGGGUCCGUGCCCAGCCCUCCUGCCGGGCUCCUGCCAGCUCGGUUGGGCUGUGCCUGAGGACGAUGCCCUGUUUCUCUCCCUUGCUGCGUUGGUUGUUUCUUUUGCAGCUGCUAAUGACUGACCUGAGGUCUGUUCACACAGUCCCCUCGCUGCCCCCACGGCGCAGAGCCACACGGAACAGGGGACAUUGCACAGCACUCCCGUAGCUGGUGACCACAGUGCCACCACCCCAGGGGCACGGCCCCAGCUCCUGCCUGGCCAGACUGACCGUGUCCAGAGGGGAGCCGGGCUCAGGAGCCACCAUCACCACCAACACCACCAACACAUGAUGCCAGAGCUGGGCUGGCCUCAGCAGAGCACCCUGGUGCCCACUGCCAUGGCAUGGAGCUACGAGCCCGGCCACUGUGGGGGACACAGCCCAGGAGACCACGGUGAUGACACCUGAGGACACGUGGCUGCACGUGCACACAGUUUUCCCACAAGGUGCUGGGGUGUCCUUGCCUCCCGCUGCUCCCCCCCAGACCUGUCCCCUUCCCUGAGCGCAGUGUAGGAGGAGGGAGAAGGGAAAGGGAGUGGGGGCAGAGCUGUGCCAGCUGCUCAUGGAGACACCAUGGCCAGAGCCCAAAGGGACUCUGUUUGUCCCCACUGAUCCUGCCCUUCCCUCUGGCUGUCGGUGAAGUCCUGGUGCUUUCUGCUCUGGAGGUGCCAUGUCUUGGCAGGACCCUGCCUCUGCUCCCCUUGGAGAAACACCUGGCUUGUGGAGCAUCCUGGAGCGUGGGGAGGAGCAUGGGCAGUGAGUCCUCCUCCCGUGGCCUCUGCAGUGGCCCCCGUAAGUGGCUGGGACUGUGUCCUCACUGAGCAGCCACUCAGGCCCACGUCCCCACACAGGCAGAAGGGCGGGGGGUGCAGUGGGCUGGGGGCUGAGGGCAGACGCAGCUCAUGGCAAGUGUUACAGCCUUGAAGUCCAAACAGGACAAGCAUCCUCUUGUGGACCAGAGGAGCUCGUGCUGUGGGAGGAGGGGACCCAGGGGCACACGGGGCAGGGGCUUUCCUGGGUGCCCUGUCCCAGCCCUGUAUCUCAGGGCACGGUGUCCCUGCCACCCUUGGAGCACUGCUCAGCCCCACGGAGAGGCAGCUCCCGAUGGGGAGGGGGUAAGCUGUGGGCCACCUUUCCUCCGCUCCAUGGUGGUUUUCCCUGCUGGACUUCCUCCUCCCUGCAUGUGCAGUGGGAGCUUGGUGCAGACCUGGAGCAGCUGUCGUGGUCUCUGCUGGAGCCCUGCUCUUGCAGAGCUGCCUGGAGCCUCACCCCAGACACUGCCAGCAAUGGUUUCACCCCUUCCUUCUCUGCUUCUUCCAGCUCCUUUGGAGUCCUUUAGGCACUGUGGGGACUGUCCCCUCCAUGCAUCCUGUCUCUCACCUUUCCCAGUCCCAGGGGUGGGAAGCACAUGCUGUGAGGGGACGCUCACUGCUGAGACCUUUAGUACCUCCCUGGCAGGGAUCAGAGGGGCAGAUGCCUGCUGAGCAUUUCAUUUGGAGACAGGUUAUGUUACACCGGUGAAACCCCCCGCUAACACCUUCCCUAAUGUCAAUCCGGUGGCAAAGCCCAAAAACUCCUCCUGCUCUUGAGCCAAAGCCCUGCUGCUGACGGGCCCGGCUCUGCAUGCUGCCAGUAUUAACCUACUAACCUCCUGGGACCCCUGUGCCCUCCCCGGGGCUGCCACGGCCCCUGGCACAUGGACUAACCCACUAACCAGCCCAGUGCAUGCCCUACUAACCUACAGCAGCCCUGCCUCGUGCCCACUAACCACGACAAGCAGCGCUGCCUUUAAAGGGGAACGGAAAAGCUGGAAAAGGGGUUUGGAAGUGCCGGAUGUCGGUGCCAGGCUGCACGGGCAGAGACGGGCAGGGGCAGCCAGGAGAGAGGACUGGCAGCCCCCUGCCCAGCACUGGGCAGGAGUGGUGCCUGCACAGGCAGCCCCAGCCCUGGCUGUGGGCAAGGAGAGGGGGCCCAGCAGCCCCUGCCCGUGCAGGCAGCCCCAGCCCCGGGUGGCACAGGGGACAAGCAGUCCCUGCCCCGGGGCAGCAGAGGGGACCAACAGCCCCUGCCCCGGGCAGCCCUCAGCGGCACGAGGAGAGGGUUUCUCCCCACACGCCCUGCCCGGCUCUGCCUGUGGAGCUGUUGCUGACUAGGAGCCUAAAACGGUUUUAUCAGCAGAAGCUUUUCAGUUCCUUUUUAAGCCAGUAGAUCUCUGUUACUAACACAUUCCUGAACUGAAUUAAACAAACUAACCAUUGCUGCUUUUCUCUUCAUUUCUCUUCCAGUGUGUGUGUCCUCUAAGGCAGACCAGUGCCCUGCUUCUGUUACUAACCUGUACUUCUGUUCCCACUGCACUAAUCCGCCCUGUUUUCUCUCUGCUACUAACAACUCUCUCUGCACUUUGCCUCUCGGGUGCUGUUUGCCAUGACAAGUGACGGUGGCUCCUCCCGGACUUACUCACCUGCAGCACCCGAUUUUCGGUGCUGCUGAGCAUCCCUGGCUCCCAUUUGGUACCAUGGGAAAGAAGAUGCUCAGCUGCGGCACUUUUGAAAAUUUCCCUCUUGGCCCAUUUUCCAACAAAUUUCAUGUGGCACAACGAGGGAAAAGAGGCUGGGUGGCAACAGGGCAGUACAAACCCAUUAAUAAUGACUGGCAAUGGCUGUAAAGGUCCAGCAAACCCAGUUUGCAAAGAGAUUCAGCCACAGAGCGAAGCUAUUGCCAUGAGCCUGAGCUUGGGGCUCUCCUGAGGCCCCAGGUCACCUGUCAUGGGGAAUGUUCUCGUGCUGCUCCCAGCAUUGGUGCUCUUGGGCUCCCUCUCUUCACUCCUUUUGUGUCUCCACAGUUUAUCUUGUGCCUGGUGCAUGUGGAAGCCACUGCUGGCAGCGUGGCCCCGACUAACUCAUGUCUGCGUCACCACCGGGUUGGUACCUGCAGGUACCCUGGCCCCAGCCAAGGGCAGGGGUGGGCAGUGGGUGCCUCAGCCAUCAGGUGACGGGGGCACAGCCUGGGCUUUGCUUUCCUGUCCAUCUGUCAGCCAGAUGAACGUCCCUGGCCUCUGCAGGGAUCCUGCCGGGGUGAAGGAUGCAGGCCCUGGCCUGCUGGUGUGGGUUUGGCACACGGCAGGGCACUGACGGCGUUCGGGGCUGCCAUGACCAGCGGGGGCAGAGCCAAGCCUUGUGUGCCAGCAGAGGACGGUGGCCCUGUGCUGCUGGCAGGGACAGGCUGGCUCAUUGGGACAUCUCAGGCUGUGGUGUUGGGGGGACAGGGCACCCCUCAACCAAGGGUCGCAGCAGCUCUGUCCAGGGGGACAGAUCCAGACAGGGUCUGGCUCUGGCUGCUCUCUCUUGGCUUUGCCUUGUGCUCACUGCUCCCAUGUCGAGGCCCUCCCCAGAGCAUCUGCUGUCACUGGCUGGUGGCACUGUCACUCUCCUGCCUGCACUGGAAGGCAGAGCCAGACUGGAGUCUCCUGGGUGGCCCCAUGACACUGCCACCUCUCCUGGGCAUCCCUGCUCUGCACUACCCCCAGCCUGCUCCUUUAGCUGGGGGGGGUCUCUCUCAGGCUGAUGGGGGUCCCCUCCCCACCCAGCUCCGUGUCUGUCCAACCUCCACCUUAUCCCACUAAUCCCCCAAAAUCCCCUUCUUCCACGUGGCUGGCACCAGGAUGUGUUUUUGGGCUGAUGCUCCUGCGUUUGAUGGAAGGGGGAGACAGGGCCCUGCUGUGGGCAGAGUGGGGAACAGAGAGACAGGAAUGGGACAGGAGGACAUGCCAGGUCAGGCUCAGGGUGGGCAGGUUCAGGACUCCUGCCAGAGGUCAGGAACACCAUGAGCAUGGGGCUGGGGUUGUCAGAGCCCACCAUUGCAAGGGACUCUCCUCCCUGCCCCACAGACCCCCCUUUCUGCUCCAGAGCAGCCCCAGUGUGCACAGGGGGACCUUCCCAGGCUUGUCACUGAGGGGAGCCAUGGCACAAGUCACCCUGAUGGCUCAGAGGAUGUCCUGGGCAAGUGUCACCUUGCACAGGCCCCUCAGUGGGACAGGCCACCAGUGCCCGUGGGUGGCUGCUCCCCCUCAGAGCGGGGCAGGAGGGAAGAGAGGCUCCACCAAACAGCCAGGUUGCUCCUUCACUCUGCUCCUGCACCUCGGGGCUCCCUGUCCCUGCUCCCCAGUUACCGUGGCUGGCAGUAGUUGAUGUCUCUGUCUGUCCAUCCUUCUUUGCUGGCACCCCCAGAGGCUGUCUGGCCAGGGGCACGGUGUGUGCAGAUCCCCCUUCACCUGUGGUGGUGGAUGUGGGGCCGGGGGCACCCCAGCAGGUCCAGCCCUGGGGUGCACUGUCCUGCCCAGAGUGCUCCAGCCCAAGCUGGCCAGGGCUGUGCCUGCUCUGUGGCCACAUCCACGGUGGGGCUGGACACUGGCCAGCAGUCCCAUAAGGAUGUCCCCCCUGCCUGUAAUAUCUACUGUGAACAUGGCAAGUGUGCAACCA